CCCAGUCGCCAUAGCAGCCUGAGAACGCCCCGCCCCAGAAGCUAAGCAGGGUCUGGCCUGGCUGGUGCUUAGAUUGGAACCACGUGGAAAGUCCAAGUCUGGAGGCUAUUGGCU
This 114-nucleotide ribosomal RNA is filed under the name Aotus nancymaae (Ma's night monkey). Lineage: Eukaryota; Metazoa; Chordata; Mammalia; Primates; Aotidae. The record is from RNAcentral.